AAGUCGUCACAAGGUUUCCGUAGCUGAACCUGCGGAAGGAUCAUUAACGUAUCCAAACGUUAAACCCCCCGAACCUUUAUUGUACUUACACGCUUCGUUGGCAAGUAGCAGGCACAGCGGGUGGACUCGCGCCCCGGCCAAGUCGCCGGCCGUGAUGGCCUCUAGCGAUCGUUACUGCGCCAUCCUUACAGAGCUAAUGACACUUCCAGACAUUCACUACUUCGCCUCGUCUCCCACUUCACGCACCGGGUAGACGGAAUCAAAACUGUUCGGCUAUGAUUUUUCCCUGCCUUUGCAUGAAAACGGGCCUGCGCUUAAUUGUGCGGCCACCAAACUCGAACAACUGGGAUAUCUUGGUUCUC
This 362-nucleotide unclassified non-coding RNA is filed under the name fungal sp. Its description in RNAcentral is "partial internal transcribed spacer region". Lineage: Eukaryota; Fungi. The record is from RNAcentral.